This 74-nucleotide transfer RNA is filed under the name Candidatus Jorgensenbacteria bacterium. RNAcentral's name for it is "tRNA-His". It matches the Rfam family "tRNA". Rfam says of the family: Transfer RNA (tRNA) molecules are approximately 80 nucleotides in length. Their secondary structure includes four short double-helical elements and three loops (D, anti-codon, and T loops). Further hydrogen bonds mediate the characteristic L-shaped molecular structure. tRNAs have two regions of fundamental functional importance: the anti-codon, which is responsible for specific mRNA codon recognition, and the 3' end, to which the tRNAs corresponding amino acid is attached (by aminoacyl-tRNA synthetases). tRNAs cope with the degeneracy of the genetic code in two manners: having more than one tRNA (with a specific anti-codon) for a particular amino acid; and 'wobble' base-pairing, i.e. permitting non-standard base-pairing at the 3rd anti-codon position. Lineage: Bacteria; Candidatus Joergenseniibacteriota. The record is from RNAcentral.
GUGCCCGUAGUUCAAUGGUAGAACGCUUCUCUGUGGAGGAAGUCAUGUGGGUUCGAUUCCCAUCGGGCACCCCA